UGUGUGUGUGUAUAUAUAUAUAUAUAUAUAUAUAUAUAUAUAUAUAUAAAGUAAUCAGAGAGAGAGAACGAAAGAUAUUUAUGCAAAGAAAUGUGUAUUCACUAUGAAAUCAUACAACAAAAUACAAAAAAAAAAGCGAAACAAAAAAAAAAGGUGCUUAUUAAUUAUAUAUAUAUAUAUGAAAUUUUUUAUUUUGCGGUUUGGUGGUGCAGUGGUUGAUUGGCAGACAAAGUUUAUGACCCAAGUUGUAUUCUAAUGUGAACAACACAGUUUCUUGUCCCUUCUGCAUCUCAUGCCUCACAGAAUGAAAUUAUCAUCAUCCUCAUCGUCAUCGUCGUCGUCGUCGUGAUUAUUAAUGAAAUGUAAUGAGCAUCACAUCUUCCCAUUAUUUCACUCCUAUAAAUCUGGGGCCUUGACUCUACACAAGACUGUGGUGUGUGUGUGUGUGUGUGUGUGUGAGUGCCAAAUCUACAAACCAGUUUCUUUUGCCAGCUGGAGCUACUUUAUGUUUUUGUCAGUGAUCCCCUUUUUCUGGUUUCUAUUCCUCCCCCCUCCCUCCAAAAAGAAAAAACUCAGGUUUCAAGCCCAUAUUGGAAAAAAAA
Molecule: long non-coding RNA, 602 nt
Organism: Octopus sinensis (East Asian common octopus)
Lineage: Eukaryota; Metazoa; Mollusca; Cephalopoda; Octopoda; Octopodidae
Exons: 2
Source: RefSeq, a predicted model, not a curated record